AUACGUAGGGGGCGAGCGUUGCCCGGAAUGACUGGGCGUAACGGGCGUGUAGGCGGCGGUGAAAGUCUGGAGUGAAAGUCCCGUAUUCAAUGUGGGAAUUGCUUUGGAUACUGAAGUGCUAGAGUGCGGAAGAGGAAAGUGGAAUUCCCAGUGUAGCGGUGAAAUGCGUAGAGAUUGGGAGGAACACCAGUGGCGAAGGCGACUUACUGGACUGUAACUGACGCUGAGGCGCGAAAGUGUGGUGAGCAAACAGGAUUAGAUUCCCUGGUAGUCCACACUGUAAACGAUGAAUGCUAGGUGUAGGGGGUAUCGACCCCUUCUGUGCCGCAGUCAACACAAUAAGCAUUCCGCCUGGGGAGUACGGCCGCAAGGUUGAAACUCAAAUGAAUUGACGGGG
Molecule: ribosomal RNA, 397 nt
Filed under: uncultured bacterium
Lineage: Bacteria
Description: partial 16S ribosomal RNA
Rfam family: Bacterial small subunit ribosomal RNA
Source: RNAcentral